Molecule: long non-coding RNA, 130 nt
Organism: Sander lucioperca (pikeperch)
Lineage: Eukaryota; Metazoa; Chordata; Actinopteri; Perciformes; Percidae
Exons: 4
Source: RefSeq, a predicted model, not a curated record
GUUAUUCUGAGUGUGUGUGCCUGCUGCCGUUGUUCUUGCUGCUGGAGAAACUGUUCAGUAAGGUAGGGGAGGUUUUCUCCAAACACAUGUUCAUCCUUGGGUUCAGCAACACAACAUUCAGUCAGCCUCU